This 433-nucleotide ribosomal RNA is filed under the name uncultured bacterium. Its description in RNAcentral is "partial 16S ribosomal RNA". It matches the Rfam family "Bacterial small subunit ribosomal RNA", at positions 29 to 507 of the family's 1533-position model. The record is from RNAcentral.
AACGAACGCUGGCGGCAUGCCUAACACAUGCAAGUCGAACGAGACCUUCGGGUCUAGUGGCGCACGGGUGCGUAACGCGUGGGAACCUGCCCUUAGGUUCGGAAUAACUCCCCGAAAGGGGUGCUAAUACCGGAUAAUGUCUUCGGACCAAAGAUUUAUCGCCUUUGGAUGGGCCCGCGUUGGAUUAGCUAGUUGGUAGGGUAAAAGCCUACCAAGGCGACGAUCCAUAGCUGGUCUGAGAGGAUGAUCAGCCACACUGGGACUGAGACACGGCCCAGACUCUUACGGGAGGCAGCAGUGGGGAAUAUUGGACAAUGGGCGAAAGGAUGAUCCAGCAAUGCCGGGUGAGUGAUGAAGGCCUUAGGGUUGUAAAGCUCUUUUACCCGGGAUGAUAAUGACAGUACCGGGAGAAUAAGCUCCGGCUAACUCCGUG